GAAAUGCGAUACUUGGUGUGAAUUGCAGAAUCCCGUGAACCAUCGAGUCUUUGAACGCAAGUUGCGCCCCAAGCCUUCUGGCCGAGGGCACGUCUGCCUGGGUGUCACAAAUCGUCGUUCCUCUCAUCCUUUUAGGACGUGGGACGGAAGUUGGUCUCCCGUGUGUUACCGCACGCGGUUGAUCAAAAUCCGAGCUAAGGACGCCGAGAGCGUCAUGACAUGCGGUGGUGAAUUAAAGCCUCUUCGUAUCGUCGGUCGUUCCAGUCCAUAAGCUCUCUUGAUGACCCAUAGUCCUCAAAGCGACCCCAGGUCAGGUGGGAUCACCCGCUGAGUUUAA
RNAcentral lists this ribosomal RNA (337 nucleotides) under Cardamine pratensis subsp. angustifolia. RNAcentral describes it as "eukaryotic LSU rRNA". The stretch from base 1 to 107 matches the Rfam family "5.8S ribosomal RNA", at positions 50 to 154 of the family's 154-position model. Lineage: Eukaryota; Viridiplantae; Streptophyta; Magnoliopsida; Brassicales; Brassicaceae. The record is from RNAcentral.